RNAcentral lists this ribosomal RNA (479 nucleotides) under uncultured bacterium. RNAcentral's name for it is "partial 16S ribosomal RNA". It matches the Rfam family "Bacterial small subunit ribosomal RNA", at positions 28 to 507 of the family's 1533-position model. The record is from RNAcentral.
GAUGAACGCUGGCGGCGUGCUUAACACAUGCAAGUCGAGCGAAGCACUUUGGAAAGCUUCUUCGGAUGAUUUCCUUUGUGACUGAGCGGCGGACGGGUGAGUAACGCGUGGGUCACCUGCCUCAUACAGGGGGAUAACAGUUAGAAAUGACUGCUAAUACCGCCUAAGACCACGGUACCGCAUGGUACAGUGGUAAAAACUCCGGUGGUAUGAGAUGGACCCGCGUCUGAUUAGGUAGUUGGUGGGGUAACGGCCUACCAAGCCGACGAUCAGUAGCCGACCUGAGAGGGUGACCGGCAACAGUGGGACUGAGACACGGCCCAGACUCCUACGGGAGGCAGCAGUGGGGAAUAUUGCACAAUGGAGGAAACUCUGAUGCAGCGACGCCGCGUGAAGGAUGAAGUAUUUCGGGAUGUAAACUUCUAUCAGCAGGGAAGAAAAUGACGGUACCUGACUAAGAAGCCCCGGCUAACUACGUG